Molecule: ribosomal RNA, 250 nt
Filed under: uncultured bacterium
Lineage: Bacteria
Description: partial 16S ribosomal RNA
Rfam family: Bacterial small subunit ribosomal RNA
Source: RNAcentral
UACGAAGGGUGCGAGCGUUGUUCGGAUUUAUUGGGCGUAAAGCGGGUGCAGGCGGAUAUACAAGUCAGAUGUGAAAUCUCGAGGCUCAACCUCGAAACUGCGUCUGAAACUGUACAUCUAGAAUCUCGUAGAGGGAGGCGGAAUUUCGCAUGUAGGAGUAAAAUCCGUAGAUAUGCGAAGGAACACCAGAGGCGAAGGCGGCCUCCUGGGCGAGUAUUGACGCUGUAGCCGAAAGCGUGGGGAGCAAACA